RNAcentral lists this ribosomal RNA (372 nucleotides) under uncultured organism. RNAcentral describes it as "bacterial SSU rRNA". It matches the Rfam family "Bacterial small subunit ribosomal RNA", at positions 526 to 896 of the family's 1533-position model. The record is from RNAcentral.
CGUAGGGUGCGAGCGUUAAUCGGAAUUACUGGGCGUAAAGCGUGCGCAGGCGGUUUUGUAAGACAGGCGUGAAAUCCCCGGGCUCAACCUGGGAACUGCGCUUGUGACUGCAAGGCUAGAGUACGGCAGAGGGGGGUGGAAUUCCACGUGUAGCAGUGAAAUGCGUAGAGAUGUGGAGGAACACCAAUGGCGAAGGCAGCCCCCUGGGUCGAUACUGACGCUCAUGCACGAAAGCGUGGGUAGCAAACAGGAUUAGAUACCCUGGUAGUCCACGCCCUAAACGAUGUCAACUAGGUGUUGGGUGGGUAAAACCAUUAAGUACCGGAGCUAACGCGUGAAGUUGACCGCCUGGGGAGUACGGCCGCAAGGUUA